GGCUGUUCCAUAAAAGCCGCUUAGAAAAGCGGGGAUUAAAGUCCAAAACCUGACUUGAAUGAGCCGAGUUAAACAUCCGCGCUUAAAUUGGUUCCAUAACAGUAAGUUGAGGAUCAUGUGAUCUUACUAAUUUGAGUCAGGUUUAAAUAGUCUAGAUAAUUGCGCGUGCACGCCAUUGUUUAAAAGUCCUGAAAAGUCGAGCAUGGGUCAAUCGAUUUACUGUGGGCUACCAUGGCAACAAAAGGAAAAGAUAGAGCAGCGCUGUUCACGGCAACGGAACAGCGUUUGCUAUUGGAAACAUAUGAAGAAUUUAAAGAUGCCAUCACCAAAAAAGGCAAUACAGCGGCAAUAAAUAAAGCAAGAGAGAAAGGUUGGCAGGAAAUUGCUGAUCGUCUCAAUGCCAGCAACUUAAGUGAAGGAAAAAGAACCUGGCAGCAGGUGAAAAUAAAAUAUAAAAAUAUAGUUCAGAAUGCGACCAAAAAGAAGACUGAGGUUGCUGGCACUGGGGGAGGGCCACCACCAGCCAGCUUCACUCCUGCAGAGGAGCUGGCUUUGGAAAUUAAUAAAGGGAGGCCCGUCCUUGAGGGAAUAGAGGGGGGGACAUCAUCUAAAAUGAUAUCACGUAGUAUAAGGAGUGAGUAUAUAAAAGGUGUGUGUGUUUUAUUAUCAUUAUUCCUUCCUGACUAACUGAUUUCCUCCUUCCUUAGGCAUUGUAAGCCUAAGUACAUCAUAGCAGUAAUGUCACGUAGAGGUACUUGUGCUACUGUAAUGGUGCAUUUUGGUAUUCUGUAUGCAUUAUGGAUCCACCAGACAUCAUGUUGCCUGUGAGUAUGAGACCUUUUAAAUCAGUCAUGUAAGCUAAUGAGUUUAACUGAGUUUAAUCAGUGGUCACAGGGAGAAGGCCCAUCAGUUGAGGAGGAUGAGGAGACUGUGUCUGUAUGUUCAAGGAGGCCUGAGGUACUCACAGGUUCCAUGCUAUACUGUAUUGAAUAUUAAAAAGUGUACUUGUGUGAUAAAAUGAUCAUAAUGUGUUUUCAGGAUGCUGACACUGUUCUAGAGCCCUCUCAGUCUGGGACCACAUGUGACAGUGAGUAUUAAGAAAUGAAAACAAUGUGACGAGUAUUCAAUGAAAUAACUUAAAUCUAUGUUGCUACAGAACCCAGAAAACAUAAAAGGAGUGUAUAAACGCUACCUCCUUAAACAAAUAUAAGCGAUUGAUAUCGACAUCCAGUAUAAAAAACUGAAGAUGAGGAAGUUGGAGCUGGAAAUUCAACAGCUACAGAAAAAUGCAAAUUCACUCUGAAUAAAGACAAAUCACAUUAAAUACUUUGACUUCUGUGUGUUUGUUCAACUAAGGAGAAAGUUGAGGGGCCAGUGGAAAAUUUUAAAGGCUACACAUGGUUUAGACCAUAUUAAGCAAAAUAAUUAUUUGCAUAUGUGUCUCGUAUAAGUCUGCCUGUUUCGUUUUCUUCCAAUACUGCUUCAUUGCCCCAGUCUUCCUCUUCAACAAUCCUUGGUUGCCUCUCUCUCCUCAGACAAGCAAUGUUAUGGAGCACUACACAAGCAACUACAAUGUCACAUGGCCUAGGUGGAGUCACUCUGAGGUGCUUCAGGCACUGAAACCUUGACUUUAUCAGCCCAAAUGCCAUCUCUAUACAACCUCUUGUGCGUGCAUGGGCAAUGUUGUAGCGGUGCUGUGCCUCUGUCUGGGGCUUCUGAUAGGGAGUCAAGAGGUAAGGCAGGCAUGGGUAUCCCUUGUCUCCCAGCAA
This is a long non-coding RNA of Xyrauchen texanus (razorback sucker), 1769 nucleotides long. RefSeq lists it as uncharacterized. The record is from RefSeq and is a predicted model, not a curated record. The transcript has 4 exons. NCBI's taxonomy places the organism in Eukaryota, Metazoa, Chordata, Actinopteri, Cypriniformes, Catostomidae.